GAUGAACGCUGGCGGCGUGCCUAAUACAUGCAAGUCGAACGGACAGGCCAGGAUCUUGCUGCGCUUACGUGAGCGGCGGGCGGGGGAGUAACGCGUGAAUAACCUACCUAUAAUACUGAGAUAACGUCGAGAAACCGGAGCUAAUACCGGAUAAUAUAUUGAACCGCAGGGUGGAAUAGUGAAAGACGGUUGUGCUGUCAGUUAUAGAGGGUUCUGGGCCGCAUUAGCUGGUUGUUCAGGUAACGGCUUACCAAGGCAACGAUGCGUAGCCGACGCGAGGGGGUGAUAGGCCACAUUGGAACUGAGACACGGUCCAGGCUCCUACGGGAGGGAGCAGUAGCGAAGCUUACGCAAUGGGAGAAAGCCUGACGCAGCAGCGGCGAGUGAGUGAUGAAGGUCUCCGGAUCGUAAAACUCUGUUACUAGGGAAGAACAACUGUGUACGUAACUAUGAAGGUCUUGACGGUACCUAAUCAGAAAGCACCGGCUAACUACGUG
RNAcentral lists this ribosomal RNA (497 nucleotides) under uncultured bacterium. RNAcentral's name for it is "partial 16S ribosomal RNA". It matches the Rfam family "Bacterial small subunit ribosomal RNA", at positions 28 to 507 of the family's 1533-position model. The record is from RNAcentral.